Molecule: long non-coding RNA, 230 nt
Filed under: Elaeis guineensis (African oil palm)
Lineage: Eukaryota; Viridiplantae; Streptophyta; Magnoliopsida; Arecales; Arecaceae
Description: long non-coding RNA (EGUI_LNC041652)
Source: RNAcentral
UGGCACCUUUAUAAUAGGCUUUAGAUUUGAUUCUCCAAUUAAAUCUGAUUCUAUAUUUCUACUCAAAGGUAUCUAUUUUUGUUCCUUAUGAAUUUCAUCAAGUUCAAUCUUAGUGGCAUCAGUUCUUUCUCUAAGAAACUCUCUUUUCAAAAAGACUGUCCUAUUGCUGACAAACACCUUUUGUUCUUCAGCGAGAUAAAAAUAGUAUCCUUUUAUUUUCUUUGGGCACC